AGUGAACGCUGGCGGUAGGCCUAACACAUGCAAGUCGAACGGCAGCACAGUAAGAGCUUGCUCUUACUGGUGGCGAGUGGCGGACGGGUGAGGAAUACAUCGGAAUCUACUUUUUCGUGGGGGAUAACGUAGGGAAACUUACGCUAAUACCGCAUACGACCUACGGGUGAAAGCAGGGGAUCUUCGGACCUUGCGCGAUUGAAUGAGCCGAUGUCGGAUUAGCUAGUUGGCAGGGUAAAGGCCCACCAAGGCAACGAUCCGUAGCUGGUCUGAGAGGAUGAUCAGCCACACUGGAACUGAGACACGGUCCAGACUCCUACGGGAGGCAGCAGUGGGGAAUAUUGGACAAUGGGCGCAAGCCUGAUCCAGCCAUACCGCGUGGGUGAAGAAGGCCUUCGGGUUGUAAAGCCCUUUUGUUGGGAAAGAAAAGCAGCAGGUUAAUACCCCGCUGUUCUGACGGUACCCAAAGAAUAAGCACCGGCUAACUUCGUG
RNAcentral lists this ribosomal RNA (492 nucleotides) under uncultured bacterium. RNAcentral's name for it is "partial 16S ribosomal RNA". It matches the Rfam family "Bacterial small subunit ribosomal RNA", at positions 29 to 507 of the family's 1533-position model. The record is from RNAcentral.